AACGAACGCUGGCGGCAUGCCUAACACAUGCAAGUCGAACGAGACCUUCGGGUCUAGUGGCGCACGGGUGCGUAACGCGUGGGAACCUGCCCUUAGGUUCGGAAUAACUCCCCGAAAGGGGUGCUAAUACCGGAUAAUGUCUUCGGACCAAAGAUUUAUCGCCUUUGGAUGGGCCCGCGUUGGAUUAGCUAGUUGGUAGGGUAAAAGCCUACCAAGGCGACGAUCCAUAGCUGGUCUGAGAGGAUGAUCAGCGACACUGGGACUGAGACACGGCCCAGACUCCUACGGGAGGCAGCAGUGGGGAAUAUUGGACAUGGGCGAAAGCCUGAUCCAGCAAUGCCGCGUGAGUGAUGAAGGCCUUAGGGUUGUAAAGCUCUUUUACCCGGGAUGAUAAUGACAGUACCGGGAGAAUAAGCUCCGGCUAACUCCGUG
Molecule: ribosomal RNA, 432 nt
Filed under: uncultured bacterium
Lineage: Bacteria
Description: partial 16S ribosomal RNA
Rfam family: Bacterial small subunit ribosomal RNA
Source: RNAcentral